AGCUUCCAUAGCGCAGUUGGUAGCGCAACUGAUUCGUAAUCAGUAGGUCGAGGGUUCGAGUCCCUUUGGAAGCUU
This 75-nucleotide transfer RNA is filed under the name Lachnospiraceae bacterium. RNAcentral describes it as "tRNA-Thr". It matches the Rfam family "tRNA". From Rfam's summary of the family: Transfer RNA (tRNA) molecules are approximately 80 nucleotides in length. Their secondary structure includes four short double-helical elements and three loops (D, anti-codon, and T loops). Lineage: Bacteria; Bacillati; Bacillota; Clostridia; Lachnospirales; Lachnospiraceae. The record is from RNAcentral.